CUACGGGAGGCAGCAGUGGGGAAUAUUGGGCAAUGGGCGCAAGCCUGACCCAGCAACGCCGCGUGCACGAUGAAGGCCUUCGGGUCGUAAAGUGCUUUUCGGGGAGACGAGGAAGGACGGUAUCCCCGGAAUAAGGAUCGGCUAACUACGUGCCAGCAGCCGCGGUAAAACGUAGGAUCCGAGCGUUAUCCGAAUUCACUGGGCGUAAAGCGCGUGCAGGCGGUUCAGUAAGUUGGAUGUGAAAUCUCCUGGCUCAACUAGGAGAGGACGUUCAAUACUGUUGGACUAGAGGACGGCAGAGGAAGGUGGAAUUCCCGGUGUAGUGGUGAAAUGCGUAGAUAUCGGGAGGAACACCAGAGGCGAAGGCGGCCUUCUGGGCCGUACCUGACGCUCAGACGCGAAAGCUAGGGGAGCGAACGGGAUUAGAUACCCGCGUAGUCCC
Molecule: ribosomal RNA, 442 nt
Filed under: uncultured bacterium
Lineage: Bacteria
Description: bacterial SSU rRNA
Rfam family: Bacterial small subunit ribosomal RNA
Source: RNAcentral